Molecule: ribosomal RNA, 271 nt
Filed under: uncultured prokaryote
Description: partial 16S ribosomal RNA
Rfam family: Bacterial small subunit ribosomal RNA
Source: RNAcentral
UUCAGAGGUCCCGAGCGUUGUUCGGAUUUACUGGGCGUAAAGGGAGCGUAGGCGGUUCGGUAUGUCGAAUGUGAAAGCCCACAACUCAACUGUGGAAAUGCAUUCGAAACUGGAGGGCUUGAGGAUCGGAGAGGGCAGUGGAAUUCCCAGUGUAGCGGUGAAAUGCGUAGAUAUUGGGAGGAACACCAGUGGCGAAGGCGACUGCCUGGACGACACCUGACGCUGAGGCGCGAAAGCUAGGGUAGCGAACGGGAUUAGAUACCCGGGUAGU